GCCCACGUAGGCCAUCGGCGAGCCGAUUCAGGAUCGAGUGUCUGGGAGUUCGACUCUCCCCGUGGGUA
Molecule: transfer RNA, 68 nt
Filed under: Actinomycetes bacterium
Lineage: Bacteria; Bacillati; Actinomycetota; Actinomycetes
Description: Actinobacteria bacterium (soil metagenome) tRNA-Leu
Rfam family: tRNA
About the family: Transfer RNA (tRNA) molecules are approximately 80 nucleotides in length. Their secondary structure includes four short double-helical elements and three loops (D, anti-codon, and T loops).
Source: RNAcentral